GAUGAACGCUGGCGGCGUGCCUAAUACAUGCAAGUCGAGCGAACAGACGAGGAGCUUGCUCCUCUGACGUUAGCGGCGGACGGGUGAGUAACACGCGGAUAACCUACCUAUAAGACUGGGAUAACUUCGGGAAACCGGAGCUAAUACCGGAUAAUAUAUUGAACCGCAUGGUUCAAUAGUGAAAGACGGUUUUGCUGUCACUUAUAGAUGGAUCCGCGCCGCAUUAGCUAGUUGGUAAGGUAACGGCUUACCAAGGCGACGAUGCGUAGCCGACCUGAGAGGGUGAUCGGCCACACUGGAACUGAGACACGGUCCAGACUCCUACGGGAGGCAGCAGUAGGGAAUCUUCCGCAAUGGGCGAAAGCUUGACGGAGCAACGCCGCGUGAGUGAUGAAGGUCUUCGGAUCGUAAAACUCUGUUAUUAGGGAAGAACAAAUGUGUAAGUAACUAUGCACGUCUUGACGGUACCUAAUCAGAAAGCCACGGCUAACUACGUG
This 497-nucleotide ribosomal RNA is filed under the name uncultured bacterium. RNAcentral's name for it is "partial 16S ribosomal RNA". It matches the Rfam family "Bacterial small subunit ribosomal RNA", at positions 28 to 507 of the family's 1533-position model. The record is from RNAcentral.